RNAcentral lists this ribosomal RNA (394 nucleotides) under uncultured bacterium. Its description in RNAcentral is "bacterial SSU rRNA". It matches the Rfam family "Bacterial small subunit ribosomal RNA", at positions 28 to 414 of the family's 1533-position model. The record is from RNAcentral.
GACGAACGCUGGCGGCGUGCUUAACACAUGCAAGUCGAGCGGGAUCCAACCGGUGGCAACACCGGGGAAGAUCUAGCGGCGAACGGGUGAGUAACACGUGAGCAACCUGCCCCGAAGACUGGGAUAACACCGGGAAACCGGUGCUAAUACCGGAUGUCGUCAUUAGGCCGCAUGACCUGAUGAUGAAAGGAUUCAUCGCUUCGGGAGGGGCUCGCGGGCUAUCAGCUUGNGGUGGGGUAACGGCCUACCAAGGCGACGACGGCUAGCUGGUCUGAGAGGACGACCAGCCACACUGGGACUGAGACACGGCCCAGACUCCUACGGGAGGCAGCAGUGGGGAAUCUUGCGCAAUGGGCGAAAGCCUGACGCAGCAACGCCGCGUGGGGGAUGAAUG